Molecule: ribosomal RNA, 492 nt
Filed under: uncultured bacterium
Lineage: Bacteria
Description: partial 16S ribosomal RNA
Rfam family: Bacterial small subunit ribosomal RNA
Source: RNAcentral
AGUGAACGCUGGCGGUAGGCCUAACACAUGCAAGUCGAACGGCAGCACAGUAAGAGCUUGCUCUUACGGGUGGCGAGUGGCGGACGGGUGAGGAAUACAUCGGAAUCUACUUUUUCGUGGGGGAUAACGUAGGGAAACUUACGCUAAUACCGCAUACGACCUACGGGUGAAAGCAGGGGAUCUUCGGACCUUGCGCGAUUGAAUGAGCCGAUGUCGGAUUAGCUAGUUGGCGGGGUAAAGGCCCACCAAGGCGACGAUCCGUAGCUGGUCUGAGAGGAUGAUCAGCCACACUGGAACUGAGACACGAUCCAGACUCCUACGGGAGGCAGCAGUGGGGAAUAUUGGACAAUGGGCGCAAGCCUGAUCCAGCCAUACCGCGUGGGUGAAGAAGGCCUUCGGGUUGUAUAGCCCUUUUGUUGGGAAAGAAAAGCAGCAGGUUAAUACCCCGCUGUUCUGACGGUACCCAAAGAAUAAGCACCGGCUAACUUCGUG